Long non-coding RNA from Spinacia oleracea (spinach), 991 nucleotides. RefSeq lists it as uncharacterized. The record is from RefSeq and is a predicted model, not a curated record. NCBI's taxonomy places the organism in Eukaryota, Viridiplantae, Streptophyta, Magnoliopsida, Caryophyllales, Amaranthaceae. The transcript has 3 exons.
ACAAGAGACCAAUUCCACUUCUUUUUCUCUCUUCUCUGAUUCAAGCAAUCAACCACCACCAUCACUGAAACCACCGUGGCAACCACCGUCCACCACCACCAUUAUCUGCUGCCCAGCACCACCAUCUCAACCACGCAACACCACCGCACACCUACCGUCCCUGUUCUCCUCCUCGCAACUUCGCACACCCCUGCCCCCCCUUUCGUCCCUUUGCUGCACCACCCAACCUCGCAGCCAACACAACCGGCCAUCGCACCACCUUCUAAAUUCAUCUCUGUCCCAAUUUUUCCGACAAACGGCUGUUACCGCCGCCCAGAACGGCCCGGAAAAUACCCCCUCCCCUGUUUUUCCCCUGUUCCGCGCGACCACCCUUCCCCCUUCCCUGUUGUUCCGCCGCCGUGAACCAACAACCACCAUCACCGGCGCACCUUCGCGCCGCCGUGCCGCCCAGGACUCAGCCACCGCCGUCCCUUCUUCGUUCUUCCCUUCCUCCCUCCUCUCCUUCCUCUCUUCUCCUCCUGCUCGUGCCUUCCCCUGCUCGUGCCUCCCUUCCCAGAAACCACAAAUCAGUUUCAAUUGAAACUUGAUUUAUUUUCUCCUCAAACCCAUAACUAAAUUGGGCCACUUUCCUUUGGGCUUUGGAAAUCAGACUCGGAGCUCAGGAAGAACGAACCAACGAAAAGGCUUAGCAAAUCGCGGAAUUGAGGUACCGCUGGGAGCGAUGGGAACGAGUAGUGGCGAGGAUUUCACUUUAAUAAUUAAUAUUCACCUAGUUCAUGCUUAAGGAUUUAAUAGUACGUUAUUCAAAAACUUUUAAUAAAUUACAUACUUUUAUUUUAGUAAUAUAAAUGAUUAUUAUAUAAAUUUUGGGAUUUAAUAGCUUAUGAUUGAUGGUUGUCUUGUAAUUCCCAAGAGGGAAUUACGGCAGGUAAUGUCCCGACCAAAUUAGGUUAAUUCCGCUGCUAAUUAUGCAUUAAUAAUUGAAUUAGAG